Molecule: long non-coding RNA, 477 nt
Organism: Capra hircus (goat)
Lineage: Eukaryota; Metazoa; Chordata; Mammalia; Artiodactyla; Bovidae
Exons: 2
Source: RefSeq, a predicted model, not a curated record
AAAACAGCUCUUCUAUUCCUCUGAAUUCCUAUAUCCUGUGUCUGAAUCACUCAUUUAUCUGAGAUCAAUAUUUCCUUGAUAAGUAGAAAAGGUAGACUUUGACCAGGCAGGAUUUAUAUUUAUACAACGGCUGGGUACACCAAUAUCUUUAUAUCCCUACAGCCCCUAUAUUUCCACAUCUCCUUUGUGUACAUUGGGAUUACAGAGGAGCACGUGACCUCAGUCAACCCAGUGGGAGUCAGCUUUGGAACUUCAGCCAUACAGACUGGGAAAGUGGCUCUCCGUUGGUUGCCAUCCUCGCUGCAGCGUGGACAUGGUCAGCUGAGAAGGAAGCCCACACAGAAGGAAACAGUCGAGGGAAGGAGAGAAAAUCCGAUGCCAUGAUCAAGUCCCUCAUCUGGCUAUACCAAAGCCAAAUACACAUCUCGAACCUCUCAAUUAUGUAAGCAAAUACAUGCUGUCUCAUGCUUAAGCCCA